This 134-nucleotide unclassified non-coding RNA is filed under the name uncultured fungus. Its description in RNAcentral is "sequence contains ITS1". The record is from RNAcentral. Lineage: Eukaryota; Fungi.
GAGCAGACAAACCCAAAAAAUCAAGAACAAAGGCGGCAUAUAAUGUAAAUCUUUAUCAAAGCUGAAAUCCCAAUAUUCGUAUCUUGCAGUACACACCGCAAGAAAGAUAACGACAAUAAAUAUCAUAGUGACUC